CUCAACUCCGGAACUGCCACUGAAACUGAUAGACUAGAGGCUGGAAGAGGCAAGUGGAAUUGCUGGUGUAGGGGUAAAAUCCGUUGAUAUCAGCAGGAGCACCAAAUGCGAAGGCAACUUGCUGGGACAGUUCUGACACUGUUGCACGAAAGCGUGGGGAGCAAAGAGGAUUAGAUACCCUCGUAGUCCACGCUGUAAACGAUGGUCACUAGACAUUGGGAGUAUCGACCCUCUCAGUGUCGUUUAAAAUAGCUAACGCGUUAAGUGACCCGCCUGAGGAGUACGACCGCAAGGUUAAAACUCAAAGGAAUUGACGGGGACCUGCACAAGCGGUGGAUCAUGUGGUUUAAUUCGAUAAUACGCGAGAAACCUUACCAGGGUUUGACAUCCCUAGAAUCUUGGGUAAUGCCAAGAGUGCUUUUGAACUA
This 428-nucleotide ribosomal RNA is filed under the name uncultured bacterium. RNAcentral's name for it is "bacterial SSU rRNA". It matches the Rfam family "Bacterial small subunit ribosomal RNA", at positions 608 to 1029 of the family's 1533-position model. The record is from RNAcentral.